RNAcentral lists this ribosomal RNA (1026 nucleotides) under unidentified archaeon. RNAcentral's name for it is "bacterial SSU rRNA". It matches the Rfam family "Archaeal small subunit ribosomal RNA", at positions 1 to 1037 of the family's 1478-position model. The record is from RNAcentral.
UCUGGUUGAUCCUGCCAGAGGUCACUGCUAUCGGGGUUCGAUUAAGCCAUGCGAGUCGAGAGGGUUCGGCCCUCGGCGUACUGCUCAGUAACACGUGGAUAACCUGCCCUAGGGGAGGGGAUAACCCCGGGAAACUGGGGAUAAUACCCUAUAGGUUACAGAUGCUGGAAUGCCCUGUAACCAAAAGCUCCGGCGCCCUAGAAUGGAUCUGCGGCCGAUUAGGUUGUUGUUGGGGUAACGGCCCAACAAGCCCGUAAUCGGUACGGGUUGUGGGAGCAAGAGCCCGGAGUUGGAUUCUGAGACACGAAUCCAGGCCCUACGGGGCGCAGCAGGCGCGAAACCUUUACAAUGCGGGCAACCGUGAUAAGGGAACCUCGAGUGCCUGUAAACGCAGGCUGUUCAGGUGUUUAAAACGCACCUGGAGAAAGGGCCGGGCAAGACCGGUGCCAGCCGCCGCGGUAAUACCGGCGGCUCGAGUGGUGGCCACUUUUAUUGGGCUUAAAGCGUUCGUAGCUGGGUUGUUAAGUCUCUUGGGAAAUCUGGCAGCUUAACUGUCAGGCGUCUAAGAGAUACUGGCAAUCUAGGAACCGGGAGAGGUGAGGGGUACUUCGGGGGUAGGAGUGAAAUCCUGUAAUCCUCGAGGGACCACCUGUGGCGAAGGCGCCUCACCAGAACGGCUUCGACAGUGAGGGACGAAAGCUGGGGGAGCAAACCGGAUUAGAUACCCGGGUAGUCCCAGCCGUAAACGAUGCGCGUUAGGUGUGUCGAUGACCACGAGUCAUCGAGGUGCCGAAGGGAAACCGUGAAACGCGCCGCCUGGGAAGUACGGUCGCAAGGCUGAAACUUAAAGGAAUUGGCGGGGGAGCACCACAACAGGUGGAGCCUGCGGUUUAAUUGGACUCAACGCCGGGAAGCUCACCGGAUAGGACAGCAGAAUGAUUGCCGGGCUGAAGACUCUGCAUGACUAGCUGAGAGGAGGUGCAUGGCCGUCGUCAGUUCGUACUGUGAAGCAUCCUGUUAAGUCAG